Molecule: ribosomal RNA, 467 nt
Filed under: uncultured bacterium
Lineage: Bacteria
Description: partial 16S ribosomal RNA
Rfam family: Bacterial small subunit ribosomal RNA
Source: RNAcentral
ACGAAUGCUGGCGGCGUGCUUAACACAUGCAAGUCGAACGGAAAGGCCCUGCUUUUGUGGGGUGCUCGAGUGGCGAACGGGUGAGUAACACGUGAGUAACCUGCCCUUGACUUUGGGAUAACUUCAGGAAACUGGGGCUAAUACCGGAUAGGAGCUCCUGCUGCAUGGUGGGGGUUGGAAAGUUUCGGCGGUUGGGGAUGGACUCGCGGCUUAUCAGCUUGUUGGUGGGGUAGUGGCUUACCAAGGCUUUGACGGGUAGCCGGCCUGAGAGGGUGACCGGCCACAUUGGGACUGAGAUACGGCCCAGACUCCUACGGGAGGCAGCAGUGGGGAAUAUUGCACAAUGGGCGGAAGCCUGAUGCAGCAACGCCGCGUGCGGGAUGACGGCCUUCGGGUUGUAAACCGCUUUCGCCUGUGACGAGGCGUGAGUGACGGUAAUGGGUAAAGAAGCACCGGCUAACUACGUG